UCUCAUUUGAUGGUGAUAAGAUCCCACUUCACAGAUGAAGUUCCAGCCCCCACGAGAGACUUGGUGAUAGCGUCAUUUGGCGGUGAGUCGCAGGUCUGACCGCUAAUCCAAAGCUCUUUCUACCUCAGCUUUGUCUGAAAGAUGGAUAGAGAGCCACCACCAAGGGGAGAGGGACCACAGAAUUUGGACUUCAGAGGAAGAAAAGCACGCUCGUCUCAGCCUUGUCACCUACAGAGACAGGAACUGCAUUUGGCCACAGCAGCAAUAGGGAGCGAACACAUUGCCAGUAUGGGCAUGGAUUUGGAGACUCAGAGCACACAGGAUAAUUGAAGCCAUUGUCAAGAAGAAAGGGCCCAGAGAUGUGUUUGAAUGAGGACAGGUGAUGUCUAGGGCAGAACCCACGGAGAGAUCAUUGCUGCAGGACAGGGCAACUCACACCACUGUUCCUUGGAUGGGAGGGUCCCAGGACAGAAGAGGAGGAAGGGAUCCCCGCCCCCCAACUCUGAGCAUGUUCUUCAAGAGCCGCACCUUUGGGACACAUUCAGAGACUAUGAGGGAAUGGUUUUGGAAGGAGCAGUGGACACCAAGACCGUGAAACAGAGUAACACAUAUCAUCGCGGGGGAUUGGCUUUUUAUGUGCUCCCCCAACCCCACUAACCAGCCAGGUACUCCCCCUGCCCUGCCGUCCCCAGGGUCCAGUCUCCUCCUUCCCACCCUGGAUGUGAUCACCUGGUGCACCACCAUCCCAGAGCCUGGAAAGUUUGACAGGGGCCGGGCUGACCUGGGGGCGCACCCUCUGUCCUCCCACUGCGCCUCUGCUUCCCUCCGGCCCUGUCAUACUCCCCCACAAUCAGUGACCGCUCAGCCCCUUCCUCCGAGGACAGGCCUGCUUGCUAGCCGUGUCCAAGCAUGAAUCCCUCGGCCCCACAUCUGAUGUCUGAUGCACGGUCCGUGCUCGGGGGACUGAAAUGCUGGGUUAAGGGCUACUCCCGAGGGCCAGAUCCAGAAACUGUGUCUGAGAAGGGAUCGGAGCAAGGGAGGGCCUGGGUGCCAGGCCAGAGUAGACUCCUUGGUCCCUCCCCUUCCGGGCCUCCCCCCACCACCGGCAGCCCUGCAGGAAAAUGCCCAUUAUUUAUAUCCACACCUCUUUAGUCCUGGAAGAUGAGCCCAACUUGGUCCGCAAGAUUAUCAGAGGGACCGUGGGCAGCUGCUUCUUCUACUCUUGGCAAACACUCACUUGGGUGCCUUUGCCGGAGGGCCCUGCUGGGCAGUGGGAGAUGCUCUUCCUUCGGGAGAGGGGGUGAUGAUUGCUGAGCCUUCUUUCUCCUUGAGGAAGGAGACCUGACCUGGAGAGCCCCACCUUCCUGCGCCUGCAGCUCCAGGGGGAAGAGAGCAGAGUCCCUCAGAUACAGCAGGUCCCCACCGGAGAACGGAGCAGGUGGACGGCCUAAGACCAGGGCCUGGCUCAGUGUGCGUAGCUCCCAGAGCUGUGGGCAGCAGUCUGCACAGACAGAAAGCUCAGAUGGCAACCGGCCACGCCCCGUGGGUGCUGAGAGCACAAGCUGAGGGAUCCGGGUCGGGGCAGGAGGUGGGACCUG
Long non-coding RNA from Mustela erminea (ermine), 1598 nucleotides. RefSeq lists it as uncharacterized. The transcript has 3 exons. The record is from RefSeq and is a predicted model, not a curated record. Lineage: Eukaryota; Metazoa; Chordata; Mammalia; Carnivora; Mustelidae.